AUUGAACGCUGGCGGCAUGCCUUACACAUGCAAGUCGAACGGUAACAGGUCUUCGGAUGCUGACGAGUGGCGAACGGGGGAGUAAUACAUCGGAACGUGCCCAGACGUGGGGGGUAACGAGGCGAAAGCUUUGCUAAUACCGCAUACGAUCUAAGGAUGAAGGCAGGGGACCGCAAGGCCUUGCGCGGCUGGAGCGGCCGAUGGCAGAUUAGGUAGUUGGUGGGAUAAAAGCUUACCAAGCGGACGAUCUGUAGCUGGUCUGAGAGGACGACCAGCCACACUGGGACUGAGACACGGCCCAGACUCCUACGGGAGGCAGCAGUGGGGAAUUUUGCACAAAGGGCGAAAGCCUGAUCCAGCAAUGCCGCGUGCAGGAUGAAGGCCUUCGGGUUGUAAACUGCUUUUGUACGGAACGAAAAGGCUCUGGCUAAUACCUGGGGCACAUGACGGUACCGGAAGAAUAAGCACCGGCUAACUACGUG
RNAcentral lists this ribosomal RNA (482 nucleotides) under uncultured bacterium. RNAcentral describes it as "partial 16S ribosomal RNA". It matches the Rfam family "Bacterial small subunit ribosomal RNA", at positions 29 to 507 of the family's 1533-position model. The record is from RNAcentral.